AGCUAAUAUCAGCUAUUUUUUUUUUUACAUUAUAGCUGCUAAUAUUUAGAGAUCACAUUGAAUAUCAGCCAGUACAAAACUUUUAUUUGUAUAAUAUUGGUGGUUUAGUGAGACAAUCUUAGGGGUCUGAACUAGGGAUGCACCGAUACCAUUUUUUAAGGACCGAGUACGAGUACCGAUACUUUUUUCUAGUACUCGCCGAUACAUUUAUACAUUUAUUAAUUUCUCUCUCUCUGUUUUUUUUUUUCUUUUUUUUUGGUGAUGUUGCAGUUUUUCAAGCACAACACAAUGAGACUAAUGAAUGUAGGACAGCUUCUUUAUUAUUACUCUAAUGAAAAAAGUAAUAUUUUUUAUGUGCUUGUCACAAACUUAAAGAACAAAAAUUUCACAGUGUCCAAUAACCUUCAAAGCAUAAUUACCAAUAUAUAUAAUUAUUGUUAUAUAAAAAGAAAUUUUCAAACAAAUUACAAACAAUACAACAAAUACUAUAGAGAUACAAAUUAAAUAAACUUGUUUUUCAGAUACAGUAGGUUUAUUUACCAUGUAUACAUUUAUUUAACAUAUUUUGUUGUUUUAUUAACAUUAAUGACAAAUAUAGGCUACGGUCCCUUUAAGACCGAAUCCAUGGAUACUGACACGUAUCCUGUUUUCACCCAAAUGUUUACGUCCACUUAAGCCAUAAGCGACUGUAUUUACGUGAGAUACUCCACACGAUGGACAUUUUGACAACUGUGUGUGCAUUUGACCAUUCAGGUGCGAGGAGAACUGAUCGCGCGCUGUCUGAGAGAACUGGGAUCGCGCGCAAGAAAGAGAGAGCGCGCGAGAGGGAGCGCUUCUGGUCUGUGUUAUUCAGCGCGAUUCCGCCUAUCCCGCCUUCACUAAUCCAUAACGAAUUGUGAUUGAAAGCAUGCAGUUCGCAAUGUGUGGGUUGUCAUCAUUAAUUUGAAGUAUUUCCACUCCCUUGAGGCUGACAUUGUUUCUGCUGCUGCCGCCGGUGUCUCUGUGCACGGAAAAUUCUGUCAGUUACGUCACGUGAGGAGCAGGACAACUCAAAGAUGUUCUUUAAUGGUGGAUCUCAAGUAGGGGUGCAGAUGAGGCCUGACGGUGAGCCACAGGGAGAGGGCUCAGGUAUGUAGCCCUGUGGCUCAUGGCUCCAGGGAUGUGAGUGUCCACACGGUGGGAAAGACAGAGAAAGCCUGGGGGAAUCUCCUCUGUACUGCAUCAUUGGAUAUAAGCACAGGUGCUCCAAUGUGGAAUAAAGUCAGAUA
Ctenopharyngodon idella (grass carp) is the source of this 1268-nucleotide long non-coding RNA. RefSeq lists it as uncharacterized. Lineage: Eukaryota; Metazoa; Chordata; Actinopteri; Cypriniformes; Xenocyprididae. The record is from RefSeq and is a predicted model, not a curated record. The transcript has 3 exons.